Etheostoma spectabile (orangethroat darter) is the source of this 78-nucleotide long non-coding RNA. RefSeq lists it as uncharacterized. The record is from RefSeq and is a predicted model, not a curated record. Lineage: Eukaryota; Metazoa; Chordata; Actinopteri; Perciformes; Percidae. The transcript is spliced from 3 exons.
AAAUGAUUUGCCUCAAAGCUUCAUUUAAAUCAAUGAUACCAACGUUGUAUCGCUCACGGCCUCAUUCUGCUGCCGGCG